This 155-nucleotide ribosomal RNA is filed under the name uncultured bacterium. RNAcentral's name for it is "partial 16S ribosomal RNA". It matches the Rfam family "Bacterial small subunit ribosomal RNA", at positions 355 to 507 of the family's 1533-position model. The record is from RNAcentral.
UGAGGAAUAUUGGACAAUGGGCGCAAGCCUGAUCCAGCCAUGCCGCGUGCAGGAAGACGGUCCUAUGGAUUGUAAACUGCUUUUGUACAGGAAGAAACACUCCCUCGUGAGGGAGCUUGACGGUACUGUAAGAAUAAGGAUCGGCUAACUCCGUG